CCGCCUCCGCCCGCGCAGCCCGGCAGUGUGUGGUCCUGCUGCCCGCGCCGCCCCGCCUGUUCCUCUUCAGAGCUGUCCUGGGCUCCUUCCUUCCAAAGCUUACCCUAAUCCUUUGGACAGAGCGCCCAGCCCCUCAGGGCAUUGCUGCUUUUCACCUGCUGGCUGCAUCCACCUCUGACCUGGACCCCUUUUGGCCUGUGCAAUUCUGCUCUAUCUCUGAGUCACUGGCUCUGCACAGCUUGUGUUUCUCUCUGCCUCAGUUUACACUCUUAGGCCUCCUGUGCCCUUUACCCUGAGCCCUUCCCUUUCCUCUUCAAGCCUACAUCCUAGCACCAGAGUAAGAGGCUUGAAGGAGAGGCAGGAGGUGGUGGUAACAAGUGCAUGGUUGGAAGAGGUGACUUCUUCUCUGUAUCCUUUCGGCAUAGAAAGGAUUGGCCUGUUCAUUCAGGACCAUCAGACGGCUCCUGUCCAGAAGUCCUGAGAUUGACAGAUGUGGGUCCAUCAGCCCUGAGUGACCAGAACAUGGAACUUGUCUUUACCUGGUAUCAUGGAAUACCAAGGAGCUGGCUUCAGAAGACAUGCUUCGGACACAUUUAGUGAUGAAUCUUAUCAGCCUCAGGGAUGAGAGAGUCUUCAGUUAAAUAAGGCCCUGUUCUGUGGAGCUGGGCUUAGACAACUAGGCCUUAUUUUUCCCAUGUGUAAGACAUGGAGCUAGAAUCCGUGAACUUCAAAGGUCCUUUAGAGGUGGGCGAAAGAAAGCCUAGGAGGCCCUGUGCCGGGAACUGGAGUAGCCCAGCCCACAGAGUCCUGAGUGCUGCUCCUACCCCACCCCACGCCACACACAGUUCCUCUUCCUCUCGGUACUCCGUAUUGCGGCCACUUCUGCAAGGCUGGGCUGCUUGAACUCCGUGUUGGAUUGGGCUUCUUCCUCAGAAGACAAUUUAUGGCGACAUGUCGGAGACUCUGUUUUAAUGAAGUUGCAAAAGCUCCUCAGUCUCAGUCGUCUCCGCCACUAGGUAGGAGCUCGGACUGUCUAGCCCUAGUCCGUCCGAUGCUUGGAUGGAGUUUCCUCUCCUGCCUUGAGAGAGGGUCAGGUCAUAAGACCCUCAUUGCCAACAGAUGAAGCUGUGGACCAUGGUUUAGACUCCAAUAUCAAGGCAGACUGGAACAGGGCCAGGGUGCCUGCAACCUCCUUGUCCCUUUCUCCUGGACACCUCUGUCCUCCACUCUAAGCCUCGUAGCUAUCUCUUACUGCUAUAGACCCUUCUCCUGGGAGGUCUCAAACUUUCAGAGAUGAGAGACUUUUAUCAUGGACCCAAGCAAAC
RNAcentral lists this long non-coding RNA (1325 nucleotides) under Mus caroli (Ryukyu mouse). RNAcentral's name for it is "Riken cDNA D930007P13 gene (MGP_CAROLIEiJ_G0005123.1)". The record is from RNAcentral. Lineage: Eukaryota; Metazoa; Chordata; Mammalia; Rodentia; Muridae.